Long non-coding RNA from Cyprinus carpio carpio, 983 nucleotides. The record is from Ensembl. Lineage: Eukaryota; Metazoa; Chordata; Actinopteri; Cypriniformes; Cyprinidae.
UGUCGCAGUUUCACACAUAGGCCUACUCAUUUUGCGAUAACCAUGGUUUCCAUUUUUGAAGGAUGGCAGCUCAUCUGGUUAUGAUACCUUGUUGGAAUGCCUUAGAAACAAAUUUAAAAAAGAAAGGAUUCCCUUGGUUAGCUCAUCGAUCGUCCUGCAAAUGAAGGAGAAGUAUGGGAUUAAAAGGAAGUGUGCUGGACAAACAGAUUCUGAGGAACUUAGUCAACAACAAGAGAUUGUGUUGGACCUGGAAGUAAUGGGUGAGGAUGAGACAAGUUUCCGGGAACACAUUAAUGCCAUCACCCUGGAGUUGCGUAAAAGCAAUCCCAGUUACUCUGAAGUCAAGAACCGGAUGAAGCGCACUCUUUUCAAAAGAGUACAGCUUAUGGACAGGCCUGCAGCUGAAGUAAUGGAGCAGUUUCCUUUUCUUGGAGUGCCACAGCUUAUGCUGCAUGAAAUGACAAUGAGGUUUGGAGCAGACUUGGCGAAGAACAUGGAAACAUCUCUGAAUGAAAUGGCCCCAAACAUCAUCAGGAGUGCAAAAGAAGGAAGUCAAAAAAAACUCUACGCCAAUCUCAUUGGACUAGCAGAGGAAACCACAGAAGGUCUCGUUAAGAAUGCUGCACUCAUUUUAUUGUCAGCACUAUUUAAAGAAAACGCCAGCUUCCUCUACUGUGUAGAUAGUGAACCCAAAGGUGCUACACCAACCAUAGUGUUUAACGGCUCUCCUGAUCCCCUCAAGGCUGAAAGCGUCAGCAUUAUAAUGGACAAUGUGAGCAUCAUAAGAGAGGCAGACACUGACAUGACACAGGCUGUGGAAUGCCUAUUUGCAGUUUAUUUUCUCUUCAAUGUGCAAUACCCGGUUGACAUUAAGCACACAAUGACUUUUAUUCAAAAAUAUAUGCUUAAACUUAGACAAGAGCAUGGCAAAAGAACACCAAUACCUGUACUGAAAAUGUACAGUCAACUUGUGUAAAUUGUAG